RNAcentral lists this long non-coding RNA (1372 nucleotides) under Macaca mulatta (Rhesus monkey). RNAcentral describes it as "lncRNA (ENSMMUG00000061412.1)". The record is from RNAcentral. Lineage: Eukaryota; Metazoa; Chordata; Mammalia; Primates; Cercopithecidae.
AGGGAGAGUGACAAGGAUUCUCAUCUCCAUUCUAGAUGAGGGGUGGGGUAAGUGUUCUAUAGCUUGACUCCCCACCCACUUUUUCCUCAGUUCUCUGACCUCUUCAAUGCCCUGGAAGGUGGGAGUGGGAUUCAAGGUCAAAGGGCAGUGGGAGUAAGAGGGAGAAGAACUAAGAUCUGUUGAGUGCUUCCUAUGUGCUGGGUAACAUCCAUGCUUUGUGGAAACCUGACAAUCACCCUGUAAGUUAAUCUUCUCUGUACUCUACGGGAGAGCAACUGAGUCUCCAUCACACUGAACGACUUGCCCAAAGUUAAACAGAGAGUGAGGGGUGGAGCCAGUAUCUGAACCUAGGCUUGCUAGCCUCGUCCAGUAAGUCACACAGAUGACUUUCACUAGUGUCCCCAAUAAAGGAUCCCUAUAGAAGUGAAAAAUGGGUUGGGAGGAAAUAGAACAAUGUCCAACACUCAGAACAGAGGCAAUAAAAGGUACCCUCACUCCUUUCCUCUCUAUUCUCUCUUUCCAUUAUCACAGGAUUAGAGGUGGAGAGUGGGUGGCAGCGGGUGGCGCUUCUGUGGAAAGAAGCGAAGCGAUACCAAAUUGAGGCCAGCUGGAGGAGGACACUCUUUGAGAAUCUGGGGAGCAUGUCAAAAGGCACAAUGAUCGUUUUCUCUCUCUUCUUUCUCUCUUCACUGGGACAAGGUAAAUGACUGAAGUGUUACUGAUCAAGAUGAAAGGAAGAGCACUGCUCCUCUCUGUUCAGGAAGAACACUUCCUGAUGGAUAUUCAAGCUGGGAAGAAAUAUAAGUUGCAUGUUUCCUGACAUAUUUUGUAGCACCUGUUCACCAACACCCCAUUCUAAAGGAUACUGCUUUAUUGUGUCCUAUGUUUCCUCACCUGCUUCAACUGCAACUGAUUGGGAACAUCACCGAAGGGAGAAAGCUGGGAGGCAAAGCCUGGUGUUUUGUUUGGGUAGAGAAAGAAUGUGUCUUGAAAGUCAAAAGCAUGGGUUAUUCCUUGGAUAUAUUUCUGUGAUGAGCUACUAUCUAAUAGGAAAAGGGAGGAUGUCCGCCUGGCCUGCAGACUCAGUACGGUGGAAUUUUGACAGCAAUUUGCAAUUAGGUUUUUUGCAACUAACUGUAUCCAGGCAAAACGAUGAAGAUGAUGAAACUUAGACUGAUCAUCUCCCAGGUAUUUCUGAGUUUAUCCAAGCCCCUCAAGAUGUAUCCUAUUCUGAUGAAGAAGGGAAGCAGAACUGAAGAUUCAUUUAUACCCAGGAAUUAACAUGUUUAUCUUCUUCCUUUCUGGGAAUAAUAUCUGCAAGAAACAAAAGGAGAUGGCAAGGCUGAAGUGAACCAAGGAAGGAAAGAAACCG